AUUGGACGCUGGCGGCAUGCUUUACACAUGCAAGUCGAACGGUAACAGGCCGCAAGGUGCUGACGAGUGGCGAACGGGUGAGUAAUGCAUCGGAACGUGCCCAGUCGUGGGGGAUAACUACUCGAAAGAGUAGCUAAUACCGCAUACGAUCUAUGGAUGAAAGCGGGGGACCGUAAGGCCUCGCGCGAUUGGAGCGGCCGAUGUCAGAUUAGGUAGUUGGUGGGGUAAAGGCUCACCAAGCCAACGAUCUGUAGCUGGUCUGAGAGGACAACCAGCCACACUGGGACUGAGACACGGCCCAGACUCCUACGGGAGGCAGCAGUGGGGAAUUUUGGACAAUGGGCGCAAGCCUGAUCCAGCAAUGCCGCGUGCAGGAAGAAGGCCUUCGGGUUGUAAACUGCUUUUGUACGGAACGAAACGGCUCUGGUUAAUACCCGGGGCUAAUGACGGUACCGUAAGAAUAAGCACCGGCUAACUACGUG
This 482-nucleotide ribosomal RNA is filed under the name uncultured bacterium. RNAcentral's name for it is "partial 16S ribosomal RNA". It matches the Rfam family "Bacterial small subunit ribosomal RNA", at positions 30 to 507 of the family's 1533-position model. The record is from RNAcentral.